UACGGAGGAUCCAAGCGUUAUCCGGAAUCAUUGGGUUUAAAGGGUCCGUAGGCGGUUUUGUAAGUCAGUGGUGAAAGCCCAUCGCUCAACGGUGGAACGGCCAUUGAUACUGCAAGACUUGAAUUAUUAGGAAGUAACUAGAAUAUGUAGUGUAGCGGUGAAAUGCUUAGAGAUUACAUGGAAUACCAAUUGCGAAGGCAGGUUACUGCUAAUUGAUUGACGCUGAUGGACGAAAGCGUGGGGAGCGAACAGG
RNAcentral lists this ribosomal RNA (253 nucleotides) under uncultured bacterium. Its description in RNAcentral is "partial 16S ribosomal RNA". It matches the Rfam family "Bacterial small subunit ribosomal RNA", at positions 524 to 776 of the family's 1533-position model. The record is from RNAcentral.